This 303-nucleotide ribosomal RNA is filed under the name uncultured bacterium. Its description in RNAcentral is "partial 16S ribosomal RNA". It matches the Rfam family "Bacterial small subunit ribosomal RNA", at positions 507 to 807 of the family's 1533-position model. The record is from RNAcentral.
AGCAGUAGCCGCGGGAAUACGGAGGGGGCUAGCGUUGUUCGGAAUUACUGGGCGUAAAGCGCACGUAGGCGGCUUGGUAAGUUAGAGGUGAAAGCCUGGAGCUCAACUCCAGAAUUGCCUUUAAGACUGCCGAGCUAGCAGGUGAGAGAGGUGAGUGGAAUUCCGAGUGUAGAGGUGAAAUUCGUAGAUAUUCGGAAGAACACCAGUGGCGAAGGCGGCUUACUGGCUCAUACUGGACGCUGAGGUGCGAAAGCGUGGGGAGCAAACAGGAUUAGAUACCCCGGUAGUCCCUGUCUCUUAUAC